GUGUCAUUGUGGUGUCUACAUUAUGAGUAGAAUGGUGGAUUGGCUAAUGUGAAGAAGUAUAAGUGCAUCGAAGGAGGAAGUGUCAAAACUACCGGUAGGAGAGGGAUGAGGUCGCCGCAGCUGCAAAUCCGCAAGGGGGCACCUCAUUUGCUAAGAGCCUCAGUUUUAUUUAUUUUACUUAAAAUAAGUUGUUUUUUUGUUUUUUGUUUUUUGGGGUAGUGGGAUGGGAAAAUCGUUGGUUAUUAUUAUUAUUUUCUUGAACCUCAUUUGCUAAGAGCCUCAGUUUUAUUCAUUUUACUUAAAAAAAAGUUUUUUUUGUGUGGGAAAAUCAUUAGUUAUUAUUAUUUUUUUUUUGAAGAACGCAUUACGAUGUAUUAUUUUGUCAGAUUCCUUUCCUCUAUACUUUC
RNAcentral lists this long non-coding RNA (407 nucleotides) under Actinidia chinensis (golden kiwifruit). RNAcentral's name for it is "long non-coding RNA (ACHI_LNC001454)". Lineage: Eukaryota; Viridiplantae; Streptophyta; Magnoliopsida; Ericales; Actinidiaceae. The record is from RNAcentral.